RNAcentral lists this transfer RNA (69 nucleotides) under Rediviva intermixta. RNAcentral describes it as "tRNA-Gly". The record is from RNAcentral. Lineage: Eukaryota; Metazoa; Arthropoda; Insecta; Hymenoptera; Melittidae.
AUAUGUAUAGUAUAAAUUUUAUUACAUUUAAUUUCCAAUUAAAAAAUUUAUUUAAAGAUAAUAUAUAUA